UACGUAGGGUGCAAGCGUUGUUCGGAAUUACUGGGCGUAAAGGGCGCGUAGGCGGCGACCCAAGUCAGAUGUGAAAGUCCUGGGCUUAACCUGGGGACUGCAUUUGAUACUGGGUUGCUUGAAUUCGGGAGAGGAUAGCGGAAUUCCCAGUGUAGAGGUGAAAUUCGUAGAUAUUGGGAAGAACACCGGUGGCGAAGGCGGCUAUCUGGACCGACAUUGACGCUGAGGCGCGAAAGCGUGGGGAGCAAACAGG
This 253-nucleotide ribosomal RNA is filed under the name uncultured bacterium. RNAcentral describes it as "partial 16S ribosomal RNA". It matches the Rfam family "Bacterial small subunit ribosomal RNA", at positions 524 to 776 of the family's 1533-position model. The record is from RNAcentral.